UAAUUUUACCUUAAACUAGAAUCUAAAUGCUAAAUGAGGGUAUAAAGAAAUCCUAAAUGUGAUAUCAUAUGGUAGGAAAAUAAAAUAUUGGAAGAUUAAAAGAAUAAUUAAAAAUAUUUUACAUAAUAAACUAAAUCUAGAAGAUUCUAAUCAAUUAUAUAUUAAUCUAGACUUCAUCUUCCACUCAUUUUCUUCAAAAAAAAAACCGUGCAUAUCAGCCCCCAUAGGAGAAGUAGACCUCAAGCUUUCAUCUCCCUCUAUUUUGCAAAUCGUUCGGUGAAAUUGAAUUCUAGACACGUACUCCCCGAUGACUUGAGGCGAAGGAACCUAUAGUGCAUUUUGGAGACAAAGGAGUGAACCUAGAAGGUAGAGAAGUAUCAAGGUGAAAUAUGCUUAUGUUCAUAAGCCUAAGAGGUUAGAGUUGAUAGUAUGUCAGUGUGGUUGGGCAGCUUUGCAAUUUUUGGCGGGUCACUGGUGAUCAACAUGGUUAAAAAUCGUGGCAUGUUAUAUAAUAGUUCAAUCUUUGAUUUUUCGCUGGAUAAAUGUUAAGUUUUUAAUUGUAAUAGUUUUUAAUUGCUCUUUUUAAGCUAAAAAGAAAAUAGGAAAAUUUCAGUACGUGUUGUCGAUACUGAAACGUGACACCACGUAUUCGGUGGGUUUACCUACCGGGUAAGGGGUGUUACAUAUUAUGCCCCCAAACAUAAAAUACGAAUUUAUAUCUAAUAUAAAUUUUAGUG
Long non-coding RNA from Salvia splendens (bonfire salvia), 737 nucleotides. RefSeq lists it as uncharacterized. The record is from RefSeq and is a predicted model, not a curated record. The transcript is spliced from 3 exons. Lineage: Eukaryota; Viridiplantae; Streptophyta; Magnoliopsida; Lamiales; Lamiaceae.